UUUAUCUAAAAUGGCCUUGGCUUCUUCAUCCAUUGGCACGUUUGAUGAGCUGCCGCUGAAAGGGAUUUUGGCAAAUGUUAUUCAUGUGGCUUAUGUGCCAUCCAUCAACGAGGCACUGCAAGGAGGGAUCCCGCUGCCCAAUCUGCUGGGCAUUAAAUACCGGCAGGCUGAAAUUAGCAAGUCUGAGGUAAGGACAGAAAGGCUUACUUGCAUUGUAUUUUGUCUGUAUUCUGUGUAAUCUAUGUACUUAGUGCUGUUAGUCUGUCCCAUCUGAGCACUGAAGCAACUGAUAACUGCAGCCUGUGUGGUUUUUAUGUUUAAUCUACAGAACGCUCUGGUGCUGAAUGUGCCUGCCGCAGAAACCUGACGUGAGAGGUACGGCUGCUCCCUGCUGCUGCGGCGAAGAGUGAGCAAAAAAGGGCAAAGCAAGUGUGGUGGGUCUUCAAAGGGUCAUCUUCCUCUUUGCUUGACUUUUCAGUAAUUUGACUCUAUUUGACUCUAUAAGCUAGAAUAAAAAGACCGCACCACCAAAUAAUGGGACUCA
RNAcentral lists this long non-coding RNA (544 nucleotides) under Struthio camelus australis. RNAcentral's name for it is "lncRNA (ENSSCUG00000002254.1)". Lineage: Eukaryota; Metazoa; Chordata; Aves; Struthioniformes; Struthionidae. The record is from RNAcentral.